RNAcentral lists this ribosomal RNA (423 nucleotides) under Triticum aestivum (bread wheat). RNAcentral describes it as "partial small subunit ribosomal RNA". Lineage: Eukaryota; Viridiplantae; Streptophyta; Magnoliopsida; Poales; Poaceae. The record is from RNAcentral.
AUGCUGGUAAUGAAGGAAGAAAAGCACCGCUCAUGGCCACUUCUUCAGAAAUGGUAUACCAAGGAUCCGCUCAAAGCUAAAGGCAUUCACAAGAAGUAUGACUACAUCGUUGCUUUUGAGACUAAUCGCCAGCGCAGGGACAACCCAGCUCUUCCAGCCAGGUCUACAUCGACAGAUUUAAUCUUUGUUGAGCCGGAUGACAUUCUUGAUGUUGAUUCUGAGGCGAAUUCUCUUGAGUUCAAGAAAGGCGAAGAAAAUGAUGCCGAAGAUCAACCUAUAGGUCCAUAUACUCACACCGCUCCCGAAGAUAGAGCUGCAGGAGUAGAUGUUGCUGCCGAUUCUUCUCCGCGAGCUACUUCAUCUGAGAAGGCUGGAUCUUCUUCGUCAAGCAGCUCCAGUUCUUCAUCUUCUUCGGGCGUGUAA